Molecule: transfer RNA, 71 nt
Filed under: Stegodyphus mimosarum
Lineage: Eukaryota; Metazoa; Arthropoda; Arachnida; Araneae; Eresidae
Rfam family: tRNA
About the family: Transfer RNA (tRNA) molecules are approximately 80 nucleotides in length. Their secondary structure includes four short double-helical elements and three loops (D, anti-codon, and T loops). Further hydrogen bonds mediate the characteristic L-shaped molecular structure. tRNAs have two regions of fundamental functional importance: the anti-codon, which is responsible for specific mRNA codon recognition, and the 3' end, to which the tRNAs corresponding amino acid is attached (by aminoacyl-tRNA synthetases). tRNAs cope with the degeneracy of the genetic code in two manners: having more than one tRNA (with a specific anti-codon) for a particular amino acid; and 'wobble' base-pairing, i.e. permitting non-standard base-pairing at the 3rd anti-codon position.
Source: Rfam by way of RNAcentral
GCUUUCGUGGUGUAACGGCAACACACUCGGCUCGUAUUCGAGAGGUCCAGAUUCUAGUCCCAGUGAGGGCA